GGCGACUUCGUCCUCGGGGAUGCAUCUAGAUUAGAGUUUGAUCCUGGCUCAGGACGAACGCUGGCGGCGUGCCUAAUACAUGCAAGUCGAGCGAACCGAUGGAGUGCUUGCAUUCCUGAGGUUAGCGGCGGACGGGUGAGUAACACGUAGGCAACCUGCCUGUACGACCGGGAUAACUCCGGGAAACCGGAGCUAAUACCGGAUAGGAUGCCGAACCGCAUGGUUCGGCAUGGAAAGGCCUUUGAGCCGCGUACAGAUGGGCCUGCGGCGCAUUAGCUAGUUGGUGGGGUAACGGCCUACCAAGGCGACGAUGCGUAGCCGACCUGAGAGGGUGAACGGCCACACUGGGACUGAGACACGGCCCAGACUCCUACGGGAGGCAGCAGUAGGGAAUCUUCCGCAAUGGACGAAAGUCUGACGGAGCAACGCCGCGUGAGUGAGGAAUGUCUUCGGAUCGUAAAACUCUGUUGUCAGGGAAGAACCGCCGGGAUGACCUCCCGGUCUGACGGUACCUGACGAGAAAGCCCCGGCUAACUACGUGCCAGCAGCCGCGGUAAUACGUAGGGGGCAAGCGUUGUCCGGAAUUUAUUGGGCGUAAAGCGCGCGCAGGCGGCUUCUUUAAGUCAGGUGUGAAGCCCACGGCUCAACCGUGGAGGGCCAUCUGAACUGGGAGCUUGAGUGCAGGAGAGGAGAGCGAAAUUCCACGUGUAGCGGUGAAAUGCGUAGAGAUGUGGAGGAACACCAGUGCGAACGGCGGCUCUCUGGUCUGUUACUGACGCUGAGGGCGCGAAAGUGUGGUGGAGCAACGAGGAUUAGUAUUCC
RNAcentral lists this ribosomal RNA (822 nucleotides) under uncultured Aneurinibacillus sp. RNAcentral's name for it is "bacterial SSU rRNA". It matches the Rfam family "Bacterial small subunit ribosomal RNA", at positions 1 to 787 of the family's 1533-position model. Lineage: Bacteria; Bacillati; Bacillota; Bacilli; Caryophanales; Paenibacillaceae. The record is from RNAcentral.